Molecule: ribosomal RNA, 200 nt
Filed under: uncultured eukaryote
Lineage: Eukaryota
Description: partial 18S ribosomal RNA
Rfam family: Eukaryotic small subunit ribosomal RNA
Source: RNAcentral
CUCCAAUAGCGUAUAUUAAAGUUGUUGCGGUUAAAAAGCUCGUAGUUGGAUUUCUGCUGAGGAUGACCGGUCCGCCUCCGGGUGAGUAUCUGGCUCAGCCUUGGCAUCUUCCUGAAGAACGUAACUGCACUUGACUGUGUGGUGCGGUAUUUAGGACAUUUACUUGAGGAAAUUAGAGUGUUUCAAGCAAGCGCACGCCU